This is a long non-coding RNA of Homo sapiens (human), 3450 nucleotides long. RefSeq lists it as uncharacterized. The record is from RefSeq and is a predicted model, not a curated record. NCBI's taxonomy places the organism in Eukaryota, Metazoa, Chordata, Mammalia, Primates, Hominidae. The transcript has 2 exons.
UAGGCUGGUUUCAAACUCCUAGCCUCAAGCCACCCUCCCACCUCAGCCUCCCAAAGCACUGGGGUUACAAGUGUGAAUCACUGCUCCUGGCCCCAGUAUAUGUAUUUAGGCAUGCUUUUUAUUGAAUCUUUCCAAAGUAGUUCAUCUAAGUUUUCAUAGAAACAGUCACUCAUUCUUUUUGCACUGUUUCUUCAGUUGGUGUAUUGUUUAAUUAGAUUCCUCGAUUACAAUAAGUUUUAGGAGCAAACAUGACUAACUCUUGGGAAACACGUGGUACAUGCUGCUCCCAGCCCCUGGUGCUCAGAAUCCCCUGGGUAUGGGUCAGCCAGCUCUAGGGGGAGCAAGAAUGUCUCUCCCCAAGCCCUGCUGGUCAGGAGCAUCUCAACCCCAAGCAGAGAACCAUUUGGGGAGAUCUGUUGACUGGUAAAUAGUCAGCCCCUCACUCUCACUUGCAUAAAUCUGGAUCUUUACUGUGUGUGUGUUUUAAUUUUGCAAAACAGCUUUUAUGGAAGGGACCAGCAUGUCACCUCCUCACCGUUUACAUGGCUCUCUGACGACCUCCCAUCAGAGUGUAGAUCAGACAUAGAAGCCGCCAGCUCUUAUCCUGGCUUCCCCAUUAAACUGUGGUGUGGCCUCAGCUGAGUCACUUCACCUUGCCUCAGUUUAUUCAUCUCUUAAAUGGGAAUAUGAGCAUUACACUCCCACAAAUGACUGUGGUGAGUAUUGAUAAUAAAACAGGCCUCACCCAGGUGGAGCCUGGGCCCGAGGGCUGCCCACUCUAGGCUCCUCAGCAUCAGGAGGUCAUAGGCGCCUCCAAUGGACCCCUGGAGAGCGUGAGGGUGCUAUUGAAAACAGGCUCCUCUUGUCAUUGCACUGCUCCCACGGGGCCUUCACCAGGAAUGAGCUUCAAGGUCAACCAAAGAGGAGAAAGAGUAGAGGGAACGAGGAGGAACAUUGAGGACUGUGAGGCAGAUCCAGGGACCAAUGAGGCACCAAAUGUGUCCUCCCCACUGACUGCCUUGGGUGGGGUUGUCCAGUUUCUGAAGGAUUCUCUGCAAGGCCUGGCCCCAGAGAGAGGCUUUCUGAAUACACUCAAAGAUGCUUUCCCUGGAAAACAGUACUGCAGGCAGAGACGCAGCUAUCAUACGCGGUAUUGUCAGGAGCUGGAUUUUGUCUCCACCAAUUCGGGUGUUGCAGCCCUAACCCCCAGGACUUCAGAAUGUAACUGUAUUUGAAGAUAAGGUCUUUGCAGAGAUGAUCAAGUUAAAAUCCUCAUGUCUGGUGGGAAGGAGGACCUGGGGAAGUGAAUGGUGACAUCUGGAUGAGGAAGUUUGUUCUGGGCAGAUGAGGGGGCCCUAGGCCCUGAGAAGACCCCAUCCAGGAGCUGGGAGCCCGCUUAGGAGGCUCAUAUGAGAGAGGGGAUCCAAGGUCCCGGCUUUACAGGGGCCACCUGGGGCAGAAAUAGCCCAAGCAACAUCAUUCCUCACCUGUCAAUGCUGGGGGAUAAAUGAAUAUUUAAGAGAACAUUUGUAGUAAUCUGCAAAGGACAGCUGUGAGGUGGGUAGCAGCUGCCAGGGCAAGUAGGGGAUUUGGAGGCUUCUGAAUCAGAUUUGAUGAUGGAGCUCACAGGAUUGUUCCUAGGAGGCAGUUUUUUUUCUGAUAAUUAUAAAUAUUCUCAUCCGUGGUAUAUUCUUUCUUAUCUCCCUCAGAUGUUUGAGGAUAACACAUAAAAAUGCAUGAUUUCAAACCACUGCUGCAUUUUUUUUUUUUUUUUGAGACGAUGUCCUGCUCUGUUGCCCAGGCUGGAGUGCAGUGGCACAAUCUCAGCUCAUUGCAAUCUUCGCCUCCCAGGUUUAAGUGAUUCUCCUGCCUCAGCCUCCCGAGUAGCUGGGAUUACAGGUGCUCACCACCAUGCCCAGCUAAUUUUUCUAUUUUUAGUAGAGACGGGGUUUCGCCAUGUUGGCCAGGCUGGUCUCGAACUCCUGACCUCAGGUGAUCUGCCUGCCUUGGCCUCCCAACACUGCUACUUUUAAAAUCUUUUCUAUUUUCAAGCAGCAGCAGCUGCUGGCAGGUUUUUCUCCAAAUGACCUUUAUUUUGUCUCUAACAAAGUGGAUGGCUUUCUGGGAAAAUUCCUGAUGUGGGUGCGGGGGAACAAGUCGGGCAGGUCCCUUCUUCCUGCAGGGUCCUUGUUUCUCCCGGCAGUUUGUACUCCUUUGCCUGGGAACCAGGCAGUGGCCCCCCCUGGAUACCAGAGCUGAGCAAGCCCCCCGAUCCACUUUUCUUGGAAGCCCUGGGGCUUACCGCCUGAACUUGAUUUUGUCAGUAUUACGCUCGCAAAGCUGUUUUAUUGACUGACAACGUGGAAUGCAAUAAAUGUUCGAGACAUCUGCACCCAGCAAUCGUUUUCUCUGUAGGCAGGUUGCCAGGAAGGCCACGACCCGCUCAAGCUCCUCUCGUGACGAGGACGCCACCUGAAACAGUCGGGCUGCAGUCGCCGCCGUCCUCCGGCUCCCACUCUGCUGGGGUCUCCCUGCUGACCCGGCUUCCCCAGCGCCUCCGGUUCUUCCCAGCCCGAUCUCUCUCCACUGUCAUCCUCAGUGCCAGCCUGUCUCCCACGCCAGCUCGUAAACUCCAGGGUGGCGACUUUGUCUCACUUUCUUUUGUGUUCUGAGCACCUGACCUGGGCAGCCCUGAAGGCAGCUGUGUGAGGAGUCCAGGCGGUGGCCAUGACCCCCGAGCACGCCAGGCGUUAUCCCAGCUGAGCCUCCAGAGUCUCUGGGCUUUCUUCAUAGGUGCUGGGGCAGUCACUCUCAGCCACGACAGGGACACACGAGGCCCACCUCCCAGGAGAAAGCGCCUCUUUCCUCGCCUUUCUGGCCCCAGAGAAAUACAACUUUCAAGAAAGAGUUUGUUCAUGACAAAGUGAGACAGAGUUAAGAGAGAAACUCAGGAUUCAAGGUGAAGAUGUCAGAUGCGCUUGGAUGUGGGAGGAAAGAUCCACCCUGGCCCUCAGUGGAGAGUUCUGACAGUGGUGGGUGCCACUGGGGCUAGGUCCUUUGUGCUGUGGCAGCACCAUCUCCCCCAACCUGCUGCAACUGGGGCUCAGCUGCCUUUUCCAGAGAUCGUGGGGGGUCGCCUCAACUGCGGGGUCACCUGUCCCAACCACUCUCAGCCAAUGACUGACAGACGGGCUCUGGGCUGGGGCCUCUGGGCCUCCAUGAGGGACCUACUCUACAAUUGACACAUCAGGGCAGACAUUGUAGGAUGUGAAUCACUGCAGGGGGAGGAUGCCUGGCAGUGAGACUGUCUGUCCCAGGAGACAGGAAUCCUCACAUUUCCCAGACAAGGCCAAAUUGGGUGUGUGGGAUUUUCUACAAAGUUUUAAAGAAAAAAAAUUUUUAUUCUGAAAUUAUCCUAAUUGUGGUAUUAAAAUGUCAUUUAUUUAUUUA